Molecule: long non-coding RNA, 184 nt
Organism: Talpa occidentalis (Iberian mole)
Lineage: Eukaryota; Metazoa; Chordata; Mammalia; Eulipotyphla; Talpidae
Exons: 3
Source: RefSeq, a predicted model, not a curated record
AUCUUCACGGACUGUUCUACAGCUGAGAAACUACAACUGCAGCUUUUCCCUUAUUGGCCCACCGUCAAUCUAGCAGGGUAUCGGUCUCACAUUAACAACGUGGCUUGCUUCCUACAACUGGCUGGCAUCAGCGCAGAGAACAGCCCGGCCUCUGUAAAUCCAAGAAGUUAUUGAGUGUGCUGCC